UUGAUUGUUACUGGCUUUGAAGGCAAAUCUCAAAGAUUGUUCGAUUAGCACGCCGUUGGGUCCUUCCAAAAUGACUCCAGCACCGCUACCCUGCUGGUUCGACGAUCCAUCCACCGAGAGUACCCAACGGAAAUCGUCUCCUUCAACUCGCGUCGCCUCUGAUGAGAGCUCAACCACGAAAUCUGCAAAGAUUUGCCCCUUGAUCGGGCCUCGGGGCUCAUAUUUAAUAUCAAACUCUGACAACUCUACGGCCCACUUCACCAUCCUUCCCGCAACGUCA
RNAcentral lists this long non-coding RNA (280 nucleotides) under Phaseolus vulgaris (common bean). Its description in RNAcentral is "long non-coding RNA (PVUL_LNC001542)". Lineage: Eukaryota; Viridiplantae; Streptophyta; Magnoliopsida; Fabales; Fabaceae. The record is from RNAcentral.